CCAGCCGGCCGGACGGCCGCCUCGCUCUCCAGGCGGGGAGGAAAGUCCGGGCUCCAUGGAAGAACGGUGCCGGGUAACGCCCGGCGGGGGCGACCCCAGGGAAAGCGCCACAGAAAGCAAACCCCCUCGCCUUCGCGGCUUCGUGCCGCGUCGCCCGAAAGGGAGGCGGGGGAAGGGUGAAAGGGUGGGGUAAGAGCCCACCGCGGACGCGGCAACGCGGACGGCACGGCAAGCCCCACCGGGAGCAAGACCAAGAAGGGACUGCGCGGGCGUCAGCCCAGCCUUUUCCAGGCCAGCCGUCCGGGUCGGUCGCGCGAAGCGCCCGGCGACGGGCGCUCCAGAUGAAUGGCCGUCGCGCCGUUGAGCUUGCUCAGCGGCCUUACAGAACCCGGCUUACAGGCCGGCUGGCGCU
RNAcentral lists this RNase P RNA (412 nucleotides) under Hyphomicrobiales bacterium. RNAcentral describes it as "Rhizobiales bacterium (soil metagenome) RNase P RNA component class A". It matches the Rfam family "Bacterial RNase P class A". Rfam says of the family: Ribonuclease P (RNase P) is a ubiquitous endoribonuclease, found in archaea, bacteria and eukarya as well as chloroplasts and mitochondria. Its best characterised activity is the generation of mature 5'-ends of tRNAs by cleaving the 5'-leader elements of precursor-tRNAs. Lineage: Bacteria; Pseudomonadati; Pseudomonadota; Alphaproteobacteria; Hyphomicrobiales. The record is from RNAcentral.